UGCUUUGCAGGUCUAUAGCAUAGCUAUCUCUGCCUGAGGUACUCAUGCUGGGAUCUCCUUAUAGAUAAAAAGGAGAUUGGAAACAGGCAUGUGAGGAAUGACUGCUUCUGGACCAAAAAGCCUGAUAUUUCGUUGUCACAUUUAUGGUGAAUCGCUCAUUCCUUAAAGUAUUCUGUUCCUGGAAAAAAUAAUUUACUAUCUAUGACUUUUUUGACCUCUCUGGUCCGAAAAAAUGUUUGUAGAAUAAAUCUGCUUCCGAAUCCUCAUCUAAUCUGAUAUGAUGGAUAUACUACCAUGCUACAUGACCUAGCACUUUGUUGAAUACACAGUUACAAAACUUGGAUUGCUCAUUGCAUAACAGGAAUGAUCUGGCUCCCUUCUUGUUUACACAAAACAUUGUCUGUGAUAGCUUCUGUGGGUUUCUUUUCAUGGCAGUUCAAAAUGUUAUGUAGGCUGACCGACCUUCUUGAAACCGUAGUAUGUUUAUGUACGGAGACAAUUUCUGUUCUGUGACAUUUACUUUUGAUGAUGCUGGGAGUUUCCCAUCCUUGAUUUAAUGUAUCCUUCACUAGAGGUGGUUGUGGAGGAGCAAGUGGGAAUGCUUUGCGUGUGUAAGAUGGAUAUUUUUUCAUCAGAGAAGGGGAGGGGCCUGUUGAGGAUAUCUGUUUCAUGUUUGUGGAGUGUGAUUGGGUUGUAAGCAGAUUUUAUCAAGCCCCUAAGACAGCAGAAGUGAAGGCUGGAUCGUAAGUGAUGUAGAUGAAUGAUACCAUGUUCUGAGUUUUCUCAAUCUGACCCUUCUAUGGAAAGCUAAUUAUCUUGCAACACCAGUUGCUUCAUAAAAGAGCUUCAUAAGGAGAGUUACGGUUGGUUUAAAGCUGCUGAUGUGACUUGCAAUCUGCUUAUUGGCAACAACCUGAUACUUGAAGAAAUGAAAGGAAGAAAAUGCUAACCCUUGUGAAAUCACUGCUUUUUCUAAUACUGUCGAUAGUAUUGCCUCCUCUAGUGAUCUCAAUUUUGUAAUCUCACCUUGUGCUUCAGUUCUUCAAGAAGUCACCGACCAAAGACAAGACCUAAACCAGGCUGUACGUAGUCUUCUGACCUCUCUCCCAUGGCCUCACAGCACCUGAGCCGACACAUCCAGCUGGCAGUGACCUUCCUCCUGUGGAGAUUCUGGGUCACUGUGGGUUAUACCAGGCCUGUCAAGUGGCACGGUCCCCGGCCUCGGUGCUUGCGGCCCUGCUCUAAAACUGCUGAUUCGCACAAGGGAAUUCCACUGCUGUUACAGUCUGCUUCAGCUGCCUCCAGAUGUCCGCCUGUGUUGGCAAGGCACUCCCCCAUCUUCACGGAGCAGCAAGCCCCAGCCAAAACACCUUCACGGCUCUGCAGCAAAAGUUACAUUCAUCUCGGCAACUGGUGUAAAUCAUCAUUUGGCCUGGAUCCAUGUUUCAUACCUAUGAAAGGCCAAUGACAGAAAUCCAGAGCAUCCAAAACUCCGUCAGAGUGACUGAGUCUACGGGCUAAGACGACAUUGAUGUGAAAAGCAGAGGUGUUAUUUUCCCCACGACGCGCUGUGAAAGUGUGCACAUGGUAGCAAAGUUCCCCCCGAAAAUACAAAGGCACUGCAGAAGCGACAACUGGAGUGUGAGUCUGCAGAGCGGACAGUCAAUCCCGAGCUGACCUGACACACACACACCAAUAGCCUCAGAUAGCUAUGCAGUUAGCGUUUGUUUUCUAUACGGUGCUUUCCAUAUUCUUGCAUCUUCAGAUGGGUACAGUACGGUCAUCACUUCCUGCCCUAAGAAGUCAUCUACUGUUGCUUUAUUCUAUUUGUAAACAGAAAAAAUUGGUGGCUGUGUUUCAUUCCACCUAUCAGAUGAAGUUACUUCUGUAUUUUCUGUAUUUGCCUGAUUAUCAGUAAAUUUGCAGAGUGCCGUGAGCUGGCAGGCAUUUGGGACGCAUCUCAUUUUACAGGGACUGUACUGCACACUUCAAGGGAGCUUGUAAAAUCCCAGUAGUGGAUAUCAGUAUAAUGACAAAAAUUUUAUCAUUUUUAGUACAAUGGCAUACCCAUGAAAGAGGUUUCUACUAGGCACAGAUGGUGGGCUGAUGUCCCGAAGUAAAACAAAUUACAUACAUUUUAUGCCAACAAAAAUAAAAUUAUGAUUACCCUA
This is an RNA transcript of Grus americana (Whooping crane), 2171 nucleotides long. It is a transcript of the gene named small lysine rich protein 1, with no coding region annotated. Lineage: Eukaryota; Metazoa; Chordata; Aves; Gruiformes; Gruidae. The record is from RefSeq and is a predicted model, not a curated record. The transcript is spliced from 3 exons.